GCGCCCAUAGCUCAAAGGAUAGAGUACCAGCCUGCGAAGCUGAGGAUCCAGGUUCGAUUCCUGGUGGGCGCA
This 72-nucleotide transfer RNA is filed under the name Elusimicrobiota bacterium. Its description in RNAcentral is "Elusimicrobia bacterium (groundwater metagenome) tRNA-Arg". It matches the Rfam family "tRNA". From Rfam's summary of the family: Transfer RNA (tRNA) molecules are approximately 80 nucleotides in length. Their secondary structure includes four short double-helical elements and three loops (D, anti-codon, and T loops). The record is from RNAcentral. Lineage: Bacteria; Pseudomonadati; Elusimicrobiota.